Molecule: long non-coding RNA, 698 nt
Filed under: Brassica rapa (field mustard)
Lineage: Eukaryota; Viridiplantae; Streptophyta; Magnoliopsida; Brassicales; Brassicaceae
Description: long non-coding RNA (BRAP_LNC000516)
Source: RNAcentral
AUUGUUUCUGUGUUCCAUCUGAUACGAGAGCCACACAAAUUAAAAAUUGAUUUUGUUGUUAAAUCUGAUAAUGGUAUAAAUCCAUCUGUCAUCUGAUCAUAUUCAUACUGCUCGAAUGAACCUGUGCCACCGUCCGGAAAGAAAAAUGGUUUACCGAUAUUCGAUUUGCAUCCUACCAAAUCAUGCACAUACUAAUCGUAUAUCUUUAUCCAUCUAUUUUUAACAAAAUAUAAUAUUAUUAACUAAAAAAUAUAUUAAAAUAUAAUUGCUGGUCAUGAAUAUAAUUGUUUGUCAUGAGUCUCAUGAAUAAUGGAAAAUUCACAUAAAGAACCAAAACAAUUCAGUUUCAAAAAAAAAAACAAUUUCAAAUUCUUUUUAAAUCAACAAUAUACUUAAAAUUCAACAUCUCCGGAGAAAAAAAAAUCAAAUGAAACUCUUGUUGGAUAAUGGUUACUGGGGAAAGACCAAGACUUAAGACGUCGUAGUUAAUAUCAUCAUAUUGAGAAAUAGUAAUAAUUAAUUAAAAAGCUUUAUGGCCCUCUAUGCUAGAUAAUGUAUUGACUUAAUUAAAGAGUUUCUAUUAAAUACUUAAAAGGUCGCGAUUAAUACGGAGACAAUUAGGUCAGAUCCAUGCAACUAUGAAGACUUCGUUAACCAAAUCAAUCUAUACUAUUAUUAGAAAUAAAUUUGCUUAUUUG